CAAUAGAAGAAUAGUUGUAAAGUUACAUAUUAGCAAUCCUUUAGUGUUCCUUUCAUAACGCAUUUAUGUUCAAAACAACUAUUCCAGAGUAUCAUUCCCAGUUUUUCUGUCUGCAGCUGUAUUACAUUCACAGUUCAUAACAGAAUAAUGAUCUAAGUUAUUCAGAAGAAUCCUUUUUUUUUUUUUUUUUUUUUUUCUGGCAAUACUGGUGGAAUGCAGAAGUUCCUGGGGCCAGAGUUCAAACCCAUACCACAGCAGUGACAAUGUCAGAUCCUUAACCCACUGAGCCACCAGGGGACUCCUAUAAUCUGUUAUUUUAUAAGAAUUUGUGAGGAGUUCCUGUUGUGGCAUAGAGGAAAAAAAUCCAACUAGUAUCCGUGAGGAUGCGAGUUUGAUCCCUGGCCUUGCUCCGCAGGAGGGGGAUACAGCAUUGCCAUGAACUGUGGUGUAGGUUGCAGACUCGGCUCAGAUCCCACGUUGCUGUGGCUGUGGUGUAGGCUAGCAGCUGUAGAUCCGAUUCAACCCCUAGCCUGAGAACUUCCGUAUGCCGUGGGUGUGGCCCUAAAAAGUGAAAGAAAAAAAAGAGGAAUUUGUCAGAUUCUCUGGGACAUUUAUGUAUAUUUUUUUUCUUUUUUUUUUUUUUAAAGGAGAGGCAAGCAGAAUAUCAUUUAAUUUUUAAAAGAGUGAACAAGAAAACCCUCAUUAAUAUGUAUAUAUUUCUUUAAGGUGUUUUCUAGCCCUUUCUCAGGCAACUUUAUGUUAAGACAUAAUUAUGCUUACAAAAAAUUGUUACUUUUUUCCCUUCUUCUUUCUUUCUCACCCACAACAUGUUAAACAGUCAGGGCUGAGAGCAUCUGGUUGAAAAAGCAGAGCUGGAGAUAAACCAAUUUCUAUGAAGGGGGGAAUACAAAGAAAAUUUUACCAGACCUCAAACACACGUUAGCCAGUAUUGCAUUAGGACCAUGUUUGAACACAUGCAUUGCUGGGCUCGGGGUUUUCGAAGCCUGGAGAGAGGCAAUUGGGGGAUGCCUUGAUAGUGAACAGGAAGACACCUGCAAAUUCCACCACCACCCUUUCCCCCCCACUACAGACCUGUCGCUAAUGAAUGAGAUCCUAUCAUUGUAGAGCGUUCUCGGUCUUACACUUAGGGCAUGCAGAUGCUACGGGGAAUGACGGCAAUAUACAACAGCGAUUUUCUUCCCCAGGUGGCGUGACGAAGUUUAUCAGUGCCUUUCCAACCUAACCAACUGCCUAAGAGGAAAUUAAUCAGAGCACCAAAAGGGGGGGCUUGUGCGCGUGCGCGCGCACAUAACACGGACACGUAGAGGCCAAGCGAGCAGGCAGGCAAGUGAUUCCUGGAAGAGUCGGGGCCUCAGAGGAAGGGCUUGGGGUGAGAUGAGAAGCCCAGCAGUUUGGAGGCCCUAGGAGGUGUGGGGUCUAAUGAGAGAGAUGGAGAGAGGAGGAUUGAAUGUAGAGUCUUUAGCACCGAGUAUGGUCCCCAUGGGGGCUGGGUAGAAGAGCUGACCAUUGGGAGAAAGGGGCCGCUGCAUGUGGGCCCGGGGUUCCUGAGUGGGGGAGGAGUAUGGAUCACGGGAGUAAGAGGAAAAAGACCACGUAAUCUGUUGUCUCUUGUUUCAUGCAAGCACCUGCCUGGGUGAGACCCACGUGAGUACGUGGUGGAUGCUAUUCCCAGUCAGCCCUGAGCCUCACCUCACCACUCCUCUUGCCAAGAUCAGUCUCCAAAAACUGGUUGCCCAAUCACGUGGGCAUGAGUCAGGCCCCUGCCAGGCUGAGUACGGCGUGGGUGUGGGCGGGAGCGGGAGACUUGCACAACUCUGAACCGAUGAAGUCAUCAGAGAAAGCCCAGCUACGGAGAAGCCCCAGAGUGACCCCUCUAAAGCCUUAGAGAGUCGGGCCACUGGGCAGUAAGAUUUCUGGCUUCCCAUCUGGCCUGGCCCUGUGUGCCCUGUCACUUUCCAGACCAGAGUAUUGACAGGGAUUAUCAGUGCUCUUUCUGUCUGCCUCUGUAAGGGGAGAGCGGAGGAUGUGACAAAGCCAACAUCUCUGACAUCCCCAAGCUUGACUUUCUGUUCCCGUGACUGGUACUGAGCACCCCUGGGCUGGAGACUGGCAGGGGGCUCUUCCCCAGCCUCUGGCAGGGAGGAAUGGGGCACCUUCCUGAGGACCACUGGCCUUGGGAUCUUCAGGCAGCUUGGGUCUGGGGGGAGGAAGAUUAGGGAUGCUGAAUCUCUCAUCCACUUCAGCUCAAUGCUGCGGCUUAAGAGCCAGACCAAGCUUGGGGCAAGUUCAGGGUACAACCGUCUUGGGCCUGCAAACCAUCUACUGAGCAAAGGCAUGGAGCCAAGCUGAUAGGAGUAAAAGCAUCACUACUGGGGGAGUUCCCGUCAUGGCUCAGCAGAAACGAAUCUGACUAGCAUCCAUGAGCAUGCAGGUUCCAUCCCUGGCCUCACUUAGUGGGUUAAGGAUUUGGUGUUGCUGUGAGCUGUGAUGUAUGUUGGCAGCUAUAGCUUCGAUUCGACCUCUAGCCUGGGAACCUCUGUAUGCCCUGGGUGUGGCCCUAAAAAGACCAAAAGAAAAAAAAAUCAUCACUAUUGAAGGUGGUACAGAAAACAGCAAGUUGGAAAAAGAGGGACCUACCCUUCUCACGUAUAGAGCUUGUCACAUCCGAACUCAGGUCAACAAAAAACCACAAGUGCAGUGAUUCCAAGAGGACAUGCCUCUAAGGGAGCAUGGGAUAGGGGACAUUUGUGAUUCUCAGCAGGAGGAGAGGAAAUUUUUUAAAUUUCCUCCAACCACCACCACACCCACCUGCAAAAAUUCUGAAUCAUCUUCCAGUUAAGAAUGGCGACAGUAUUGGCAGCCAAAAAAGUCCAGAAACUAUUCCCUGAGCACCUCCUGUAUGCUGGUGCCUUGAGUAGAUUCCUCAGGGCACUGGGCAGACACAAGUAAAGAAUUACUGCUCCAGUGGGUCAUCGCUCUGGGCUUGUCUGCAUGUUUAUUUACUCACAAGACAGUCUAGCAGGGAGGGCCUGAACCAGCACAGUUUCACCAUUGGUGUGGGAUGGGUAACACAGGAAGUGACCCUGUGGCUCACCUAAUCCACAUGCUCAGCCAGACAGGUGAGGUUGGAGGUCACUGUCACAGGCAGUUACCAGCCCAGUGGAAGCAGAUAAUGAAUCAUGUGGGACCCAGCCGGGGUCAGCCUCGCAGGUGGACAGAGAGUGAGCAGUAUCAACAGAGCCACUUUUGGAAGUCUGGUCAGGCGGCUGAACUUGGGGAUUUAGGAGAAUUCUCCAGCCUUGGAGCUGGGCAACUGGAAGGUAUAGUCAGGGAGGCAGGAGUCCUAGGAGAUUGUCGGAAAGGAACCCAGGAACAGAGGCCAAAGGGGAAGCAGAUGGGGUUCGGGCCUUGGAUCUUGGGAGCAGGCCCUGGAUCACCUUGUCUUGGAUCAGAUGGGGGAGGGCAGAAGAGGGGGAGUUAUGGAGACUGUGGAUUGGGGUGGAGAACUGUGAGCCCGCCCCAGAGGGUCCCCAAGGCCCAGAGAAGGAGGAGGAGAAUUGGGAGCUGGAGAUAGAGGGUGAGCUCCUGGGCAGCAAAGGAGUCUGUCAUCUGUCUCUUUGGGUACACAACCAGGGCCCCCUCUGGCCCACACGGGGUCCUCAUAUGAACUGAAAUGGCGCCCCCCUUGGGGCAGACAAGUUGGGCAAACACCCCAGAGGUACUCAUGGUUCCUUUGUAUGAAGAGAAAGACUCUGCUUCCUCCUGCAGGGCCCCCUCGGCAGGACACACAACUGGAGAACAGAGCAUGAAGUAGAUUUCAGUGGCCACUCAGUCCCUUGGUCGGCAUCUGUGUGCCGGCCACAAACUGCACGGCCACACGUGGAUGCCCAGGAGCUGCUCGGGGAGAGGGUGGGAAGGCCCCAGUCUCUCUGUCCUGGGCAAGCCUGGACCUCCCACCAGGAGCAGUGGCUGUGGGUGAACUUACCUCCGUGGUGUGAGGAGGCGAGUUGAAAUAAGCUAGUCUUUAUGCCUUUGAAAACCGGCCCCAGACCUCAGCUACCAUCCUGCAGUGUCACCUCUAAUUGAUUCCUGGCUCCCCCCAUGUUGGAAUGUCAAGAGUCAGGGCUAGAGAUAUGCACCCCCCCGCCCCGGCCAACCUCAAGGCCACAGAGUCACAGCUGGAGAGAGACGGACAAGCUGGCAGCCUUGACCACAGGUUUACGGGGUGACUCCUGACCUACACGUUAGAGUAUUUACUAGUGAUGACUAAUAUUUAUAGAGCACGUAGCAGUUUAGCAAGUGCUUUCUCGAACCUGGUCUCAUUUGCUGCCUGUGAGGCAAGGAUGAGUGGCUUACCUCUCACACAGGAGAAGACAGACGCGGAGAUGCCUGAGGUGGCAGGAGGUGCCGUGGGGUAGGUGGGGUUAUGGUCUCUGAACUCGACUACCUGGGUUCCCAUCCCAGUCCUGCUGUUUCCCUGCUGUAUGACACAGAGCAGGUUGCUUCAUCUUUUUGAGCCUCCGUUUCUCCAUGUACGAGAUGGGAAAUUAGUAGCCACCUCAUGCAUGAGGUGCCUGUGGCAGUUAAAAUACUCAGACCAGUGCCUGGCAUGGAACAAGCGACCCCAGCAUGGACGACCUGCACUCACCGUCAAUGAUGGAAAAUAAGAUCCACCGAUAUGUACAAAAUCUCACAUGUUUUAGCAACUCCUUGUGGUACAAUUCAGAUUAGGUCAGAUUCCAGUCACAUUUGGGAAAUUUAAUUGCCCAUAAGUUUGUCAGUCAUAACUUGGCUCCCACAUAGAGGAAAGCAGUGGGUUGAGUACUUAGGUAAGGGGCCCACAAACGCAGGUGACAGGGAUGAGGGAAGCAGGUGGAGUGGGCCCUGGGCUGGACUGGAAAGUGUGGCCCCUUAUGAAGGGGCAUCUGGCAAAAGGUGGCCAGAUGGGAAUACAGGAUACUCAUUUUUCAACUGAAUCUGCCCAUUUUUCCACAGAAGCCCCAAACGGUGACUUUUAAUGUGAAAUAUCCUGAUUUUUAAUUUUAGCAGCUAUUUUGCAUUUCUUUAAAACACUGUGAUGGUGGAGUUCCCUGGUAGCCUAGAGGUUAAGGACCUGGCAUUUUCACUGCUGUGGCUCAGGUCACUGCUCUGGAGCAGGUUGAGUCUCUGGCCCGAGAACUUCCACAUGCCAGGGAUGUGGCAAACAAACGAACAAACACUGAGUAGCCAGACCAGAGCCAGCUGCAGGCCACCUGCUUGUGCCAGCUGUCCAGGUUAUCCUCUCUCACGGCGACCUCCUGGAGCUUCAGUGCCUGCUGACCACACACUGUUCUCCAGGCCUGUCCUUUCCUGUCCCCUUGAUAGACACCAACUUUCUUGUUUUGCUCCUUAAGGCCCAUAGGUGGUAUGUCUGCUGUGAAAGUGAUGGGGGUUCUACCUGGAAGGUCCCCCCACAUCAUCACUCAAUUACCAUGUAAUAUGAAAAAAGCUGUGCUGUGUAAAAUAAGCUGAAAUAUACUUCCAAAUGCAAACAAGCAAUGGAAAGUGUUUCUGAAGCUCCACACGCAUAAGAUACUGUGUAUUCACAGGAAUUUUUUAAUAAUAUUCAUCUCAGGAGAGAGAUUCGACACCACCUGAAAACUCCUCAUUAAAGAGAGGAACCUCAGGGAGUUCCCACUGUGGCAUGACAGGUUAAGGAUCUGGCAUUGCCACAGCUGUGGCAUAGAUCACACCUGCGGCUUGGAUUCAGUCCCUGGCCUGGGAACGUCCUUAUGCUGUGGGUGUAGCCAAAAAAGGAAAAAAGAGAGAGAGAAACCUCAGGAGUUCCCUGGUGGUGCAGCAGGUUAAGGAUCUGGUAUUGUCACUGCUGUGGGAUGAAAUUGAUCCCUGGCCUGGUAACUUCAACAUGCCCAGG
RNAcentral lists this long non-coding RNA (5935 nucleotides) under Sus scrofa (pig). Its description in RNAcentral is "lncRNA (ENSSSCG00000054413.1)". Lineage: Eukaryota; Metazoa; Chordata; Mammalia; Artiodactyla; Suidae. The record is from RNAcentral.